UCCCACUGUCCUGAGCCUGGACCCAGCCUGUCUCCAAUCAGACCAACUGUUGACGAGGUGCUAAAGACCAUCCCUCUGUCCUGAGCCUGGACCCAGCCUGUCUCCUCUGUCCUGAGCCUGGACCCAGCCUGUCUCCUCUGUCCUGAGCCUG
Oncorhynchus tshawytscha (Chinook salmon) is the source of this 151-nucleotide long non-coding RNA. RefSeq lists it as uncharacterized. The record is from RefSeq and is a predicted model, not a curated record. Lineage: Eukaryota; Metazoa; Chordata; Actinopteri; Salmoniformes; Salmonidae. The transcript has 2 exons.